Molecule: transfer RNA, 88 nt
Organism: Psychromonas ingrahamii 37
Lineage: Bacteria; Pseudomonadati; Pseudomonadota; Gammaproteobacteria; Alteromonadales; Psychromonadaceae
Rfam family: tRNA
About the family: Transfer RNA (tRNA) molecules are approximately 80 nucleotides in length.
Source: Rfam
GGAGGGGUGGCAGAGCGGCUGAAUGCACUGGUCUUGAAAACCAGCGAGGGUUAAUAGCUCUCCGAGAGUUCAAAUCUCUCCUCCUCCG